Molecule: ribosomal RNA, 484 nt
Filed under: uncultured bacterium
Lineage: Bacteria
Description: partial 16S ribosomal RNA
Rfam family: Bacterial small subunit ribosomal RNA
Source: RNAcentral
AUUGAACGCUGGCGGCAGGCCUAACACAUGCAAGUCGAGCGGAUGAAGGGAGCUUGCUCCUGGAUUCAGCGGCGGACGGGUGAGUAAUGCCUAGGAAUCUGCCUGGUAGUGGGGGAUAACGUCCGGAAACGGGCGCUAAUACCGCAUACGUCCUGAGGGAGAAAGUGGGGGAUCUUCGGACCUCACGCUAUCAGAUGAGCCUAGGUCGGAUUAGCUAGUUGGUGGGGUAAAGGCCUACCAAGGCGACGAUCCGUAACUGGUCUGAGAGGAUGAUCAGUCACACUGGAACUGAGACACGGUCCAGACUCCUAUGGGAGGCAGCGGUGGGGAAUAUUGGACAAUGGGCGAAAGCCUGAUCCAGCCAUGCCGCGUGUGUGAAGAAGGUCUUCGGAUUUUAAAGCACUUUAAGUUGGGAGGAAGGGCAGUAAGUUAAUACCUUGCUGUUUUGACGUUACCAACAGAAUAAGCACCGGCUAACUUCGUG